Molecule: ribosomal RNA, 427 nt
Filed under: uncultured bacterium
Lineage: Bacteria
Description: partial 16S ribosomal RNA
Rfam family: Bacterial small subunit ribosomal RNA
Source: RNAcentral
UGGGGAAUAUUGCACAAUGGGCGCGAGCCUGAUGCAGCCAUGCCGCGUGUGUGAAGAAGGCCUUCGGGUUGUAAAGCACUUUCAGCGAGGAGGAAGGUGGUGAGCUUAAUACGCUUAUCAAUUGACGUUACUCGCAGAAGAAGCACCGGCUAACUCCGUGCCAGCAGCCGCGGUAAUACGGAGGGUGCAAGCGUUAAUCGGAAUUACUGGGCGUAAAGCGCACGCAGGCGGUUUGUUAAGUCAGAUGUGAAAUCCCCGGGCUCAACCUGGGAACUGCAUUUGAAACUGGCAAGCUAGAGUCUCGUAGAGGGGGGUAGAAUUCCAGGUGUAGCGGUGAAAUGCGUAGAGAUCUGGAGGAAUACCGGUGGCGAAGGCGGCCCCCUGGACGAAGACUGACGCUCAGGUGCGAAAGCGUGGGGAGCAAACA